UAUACCCGGGCUACACGCGAGCUACAAUGGUUGGUACAAUGGGUAUCUAACCCCGAAAGGGGACGGGAAUCUCCUAAACCAAUCUUAGUUCGGAUUGAGGGCUGCAACUCGCCCUCAUGAAGCUGGAAUCCGUAGUAAUCGCGUUCAACAGAACGCGGUGAAUACGUCCCUGCUCCUU
This 178-nucleotide ribosomal RNA is filed under the name uncultured Methanosaeta sp. Its description in RNAcentral is "partial 16S ribosomal RNA". It matches the Rfam family "Archaeal small subunit ribosomal RNA", at positions 1160 to 1338 of the family's 1478-position model. Lineage: Archaea; Methanobacteriati; Methanobacteriota; Methanomicrobia; Methanotrichales; Methanotrichaceae. The record is from RNAcentral.